CACUUACCUGGACGGGGUCAAUGAGAGAUCAAGAAGUCUCAUGGCCUAGAUCAGUGGCCUACAUUGCACCUUGUGGGCGCACUGGUUUACCAUCUCCCUUCGGGGAGAGUGGACGUCGUAAUUUGUGAUAGAGGGGGUACGCGUUCGCGCGGCCCCUACCAACACUCAAACAAAAAUAUUAUCUGUUGUGCAAGAUUUCAAGCACAAAAAUCUAACUAUUCAGUAUCAACAAAGAUGAUGCAAUACAUAAUUCAGUUCUCUAAAUAUUACCUCUGUCCCGAAAAGCCUACAUACUCCCUCCGUUCCGAAUUACUUGUCUUGGAUUUGUCUAGAUACGGAUGCAUCUAG
This 348-nucleotide ribosomal RNA is filed under the name Triticum aestivum (bread wheat). RNAcentral describes it as "partial small subunit ribosomal RNA". The stretch from base 2 to 158 matches the Rfam family "U1 spliceosomal RNA". The record is from RNAcentral. Lineage: Eukaryota; Viridiplantae; Streptophyta; Magnoliopsida; Poales; Poaceae.